RNAcentral lists this ribosomal RNA (165 nucleotides) under Cynometra sp. MDLE-2018. RNAcentral describes it as "5.8S ribosomal RNA". It matches the Rfam family "5.8S ribosomal RNA". From Rfam's summary of the family: 5.8S ribosomal RNA (5.8S rRNA) is a component of the large subunit of the eukaryotic ribosome. The record is from RNAcentral. Lineage: Eukaryota; Viridiplantae; Streptophyta; Magnoliopsida; Fabales; Fabaceae.
AACGACUCUCGGCAACGGAUAUCUCGGCUCUCGCAUCGAUGAAGAACGUAGCGAAAUGCGAUACUUGGUGUGAAUUGCAGAAUCCCGUGAACCAUCGAGUCUUUGAACGCAAGUUGCGCCCGAAGCCAUUAGGCCAGGGCACGUCUGGCUGGGUGUCACACAGCG